This is a long non-coding RNA of Mastomys coucha (southern multimammate mouse), 585 nucleotides long. RefSeq lists it as uncharacterized. The record is from RefSeq and is a predicted model, not a curated record. NCBI's taxonomy places the organism in Eukaryota, Metazoa, Chordata, Mammalia, Rodentia, Muridae. The transcript is spliced from 3 exons.
UCCGAACGCUUCAACAGCUGAUUGUGACGUCACAAAGGGGCCCGCCCGCUCGCGUCAGCGGCCGUCGGGGCGGCAGCCAAUCACAGGCGCCGGAGGCUCUUUCCCCGCCCUUCCGCGGUUUGCCAGCGGGUGGCUGUAGCCCGGGAGCUGCUCUCGGAGCCUCUGUCUGAGUGAAGACUGCCAGCUGACAUGGAACACUUAACCAUAUGCCAAGCACUGUGCUGCUUUCUAAUCUUCACCAUAAACCCAAAAGCUCUCCCCAGCCUUCUGGACCUCUGGAAAUACGACCCCUAUAAUCAGUUGGCUCUGGUCUCAGCCCGGAACACUGGUAACAAGAAGCCAAGUGGGUGAGAGGUGACAGAAGAAACUGCUUGGAGUGAUGUCCGUUACAGCCCAGGUGCCUACCUCGAAGCCCGGCGCCCUUGGAAAGGCUGAUGGAACACAGAACAGGAAUCCUGUUCAUAAAGGAGAGUUGGCUUCAUUUGGUUGCCACCUGAACUCUUAUAUUAUUAAUUAAAAUAGAUUUUAAACAGUGCAACAGUUUACUCAUAUAUUGUAUAAUUUAAAAAGCAUAAAUGAAAAUUU